Molecule: long non-coding RNA, 376 nt
Filed under: Monodelphis domestica (gray short-tailed opossum)
Lineage: Eukaryota; Metazoa; Chordata; Mammalia; Didelphimorphia; Didelphidae
Description: lncRNA (ENSMODG00000043615.1)
Source: RNAcentral
CUGGGCUUCACAGAAGGUGCCUGAGGGCAGCGCUGUCUCAUUUUUGCCUUUAUGUUCUCCUUAAACAGUACAGUUCCGGCCACAAACGAAGCACUGAAAAAUGCUGGUUGAAUUGAACGGAUCCGAACUGAAGAAUCGUUGCUUAUCCAGGAUUCUAACACUUUAGUCCUCUCUACAUACAAAGCAGUCCAAUGAUAUUAGCCUGCAUGACAUUCCUCACUCAAGACUUUCCAUCUCCUGGUUCAGGAUGGAGGAGGUUUCAAGAAGCAGUUAAUUCUCAUGUCAAGAUGAAGAAAUAGGAUAACAUUCUAGAUCCCGAGGCUGUUCUUUGUGGGAUGCCCUUGUCAUUUUACUGAAAGGAAAAAAGACAAAACUA